AGUGAUUCAACCGCGCCACCGAGCGCGGAGCUGCCCUGGAGGACGCAGGCGGGUCUAGUUGCCCGGGUCCCCCAAGGCCCCCGGAUUCACCCAGGCCCGCGACUCCGACGUGCAGCUUAGGUGGGUUGCAGGUCUAUGGCAGGAAAGGGAGGGCGCCUUGGAAGAAUUCUUCCCUUCCAUUUGGUGAUAAAGUGGGAGAGGCGGCAUUUACAACAUUUAAUAGAAAGCACGGGCUCUGGGCUCCCCUCGGGCAGCGGAGGGCAUUUCCCGGAUGCUUUGCCCACCUGGGGCAGAAGCUCGGGACCUGCAGCGAAGUAAACGUGUGGCUGUGAGCAGGGCCCUCUCCCAGCCACGGUGGCUUCUUCUACCCCACGAAGGUCAAGAAUACCUGGCCUGCCCACCUCGCGGGGCCCUUAGCGGGUCGCACAGGAGAAAGGCGGUGGGAAUGCCGGUGUCAGCCACGGUGUGACCGGCUCGGCUCACAGGUCUGAGGGUCAGUUGGCUCAGGCAUCGCCCGGUACGACCAGAGAUAGUGACUGAGGAAGAGCAGCCUCACAUCUGGCAGUUUGCCUCUGGGAGAAUUCCAGCGUGACAUCUGCAGCUCUGUGGUUCCAGAAAGGAUGGUUCCCACAUUGAAGAAGACAUCUGUGGGACUGAGUUCCACCGAAAUGCAGAGGAACCAAAAAUGAAAAUGAAAAAUGUAACCAGAGUUGUGUGCCACUAGUUUUAAGCUUUGGUUUUUCUAAAUUAUUUUCUGGCUUCUCCUUCUGGGCUUUGCUGUAAACUUGCCAAGCAUGAGAACAACUCUUCAUCUAUUGAGUGGCAUUUUAAGCCAUCCUGUCAAAGUAUCUCCUGUCAUUUUUAUUAUUAUUACUCUAUAUUGCCUGCAAGACACGACUGGAGAAUUCUUAGUGUAAGAAUUGUUUGUUUCCUCUCUCCUUCUUUCCCACGUUUUCCCAGGGAAGUCAGUCUUGCAUUUUAAUGCAUACUAUAUACAUAUCUCGUUUAGCUUACUGAACCACUUGUUUUAACAGAAUAAAACUGUGCAAAAUUUUAAUUUUCCUCCUUUGCCUGAACUGAAAUAGCACAUCCAGGUUUAGCCCUUGUAGACUUUCCUUCCUCGAAGCAGAAAGUUGCCCUUGAUGAUUUCCUCUUUGAGCUCUCUGCCAGCUCUGAAACCCACAAAAUUUAUGUUUGCAAAACUAAGCCAUGCAAUCCUCUUUUUAUGCAGGCUCUAGCCUGAGUCAUUUUCCCUAAGAGAUCUUCAGCUCCACCUGGGAUGUGAUUCUUUGCUCUCUGGGAUUGAAGGUAGCUGAAGAGAAAUAGUUACACUUCAGGUUUGUUACAAGACCCAAGAAAUUGUUGCAAUUCCACUUGGAGUCACUGACUUUUCUGAAAUCAUAUAGGGCUUUAAACAAUGUCAAGAUCAGCCAUUUGAUAAGAAAAAUGUUUACCAUUGGAUUGUGAUACACAAUGUGCCUUAAAUAUUGAUAAAUUAGAUGAAUAUUUAUUUUGUAUAUCCAUUAAAAUAGACAGGAAAGAGAAGAUGUUGGGUGUUUGCACAGGCUUUUUAGUCAGUACGGAAUGACAUUCUUCAAGAUUUAAAAAUGCUAAAAUCAUUACUAUUUUCAAGAAGAGGGAGGAAGAAAACGUGGUAAAUAAUAUUUCAUUGCGAAGUGUUUUUCCCUGACUGAUCUAAUUGUGGCCAGAUCUACUUUUUGACGGUGCGAAGUGUACUUUUUAAUGGUGCCAAACAGCAGUUGAUCUAUAAUAACUGCUGCUUGGCACCAUUAAAAAGUACAUAUCUAAAAUUUCACUGUUGAAAUUUGUUCACAAGAACAAAUUGACUGUUAAAAUUAUUCCCUAACCUUAACACAAUUUUUUUUACUCCUGUCAGUAAAGUCAAGCUUAGCAGUUAACAGUUCCCUCCUCCAUGAUCUAUCUUGGAGGCUCUGAGAAGUUCAAAAAGUUACUAAACUAUAACAAUAAUCUCUCUGGCUUGACCAGUCCCUUUCUCAUUGGAUUUUAGGAUGUCAGAGGAUGGGAGAACCUCACAGACAUUCUUUUAUGGAUGAGAACCCUGUGGCCAGCUGAUCUGAGUAAACUGGCUUGCCUAACCACACAGUGCAGAUCUGGUCUUCUGACCCCGGGGGCUUUCCUUCCAUCACCAGGCUUUCUCCUACUCCCAAUGAAGGAAAGUAAGACUGGGUGGUAAAUCCAUCAAAUGAAUGAUUAAUUAAUCCAUCCAUAAGCACUCAAAAAUGUUCUGCAUGUACACAAAGUGCAGAAAAGUGCAAAACUGCACAAAAACUGCACACAAAGUAUAGAAAAUACUUUGCAGUUUGGGGAACUCAUUGUUCUUAGGCAGAAAUAUCCUGAUGGUUAGUCCUUGAAAUAGACAGACAAGGAGACACGUAGAAGAGUUUGAAUUCCCUUUGCAUAACCAGUGAUGAAAUGUGGUUGAUGAGAAGUCUGAAAAUAACUGCGGAGAUGUUUCAGCCCUUCCACUGUACUUUUAUAGUACUUGCUGCCAAUUUUACCGACUCAUUUUCAUUGAGAACUUCACUUAAUCUCACUUGUGUGUUUACCUGUUAAUCUUUCCUGUUGGAUUGGGUUUUUUGUCUGUUUUUUUCCUCUCUCAACCCUUUCCACAAUUAUCAGCACAUAAUAGGCACUUAAUACCUUUUGAGUCAAUGAAUACUUUAUAAAACUAUGAGUGCAACCAAAUAUUUCACUGGUGUUCAAGAGAUGAAAUCUGUCACUGAAAACUCUUUCUAGGGGCCAGGCAGUGAGUGUUUCAUGAUGCUGAGAUUGGUAAGAAAAUACAAAUCCAUCAUGACUGGAAAGGCACCACUCGACCGCAAGUUCUAGCAGUCUAACCAGUGAUUAGCUAUCUCUGCACCACCAGAAAAUCUCACCAGGAGGAGAGAUAGCUGAGAAGCAGAAACCAGAUACAGAAGUUUGGAAACUAGCUAGCAUUUUUUUAAAAGACUGGAUUCUACGAUGAUUCAGAAUAUACUUCAUCAUGCGAUGAGGUUGUUGAUAGUUUUCCUUGCAUACAGAGGCUGAAUAACUUUUUAAAACAAAUUCCUCAAAAUGUUUAUUUCCCAGGAAAGAGAUAGGUUAAGAUACAUGAUAGCAAGUAAAAUUGAGAAUAAUUCAGAGAAACUUAUUUUAUGCAUAUGAAAUGGUAAAAAGAGCAAUGAAACCAUUACCCAAAAUUCAGGUAAAAGGCAAAGUAUGAGAAAAGGCCAGAGGGAAUUAGGAGUUAGUAGGAACACAGAGUUCUGGAGGAAAAGGAAAAAAGUGACUCAGCAGAACCUAAGAAACAUCUGGCUGGGUAUAGUUAGUCAUGGAAAAAUUGGCAGUCAUGAUUAUGCAUUUUGUGAAAAUAGCAAUAUACUAGUCCAACAGUUCAUUUAGACCAAAAUUAAACAGUUGAAAGUCAGUAUGAUAAAAUCUAUUAUCCUGGUCAUUCAAAAUACUUCUAUCAACUGUCUAGAACAGCUUACAAGAAGCUUUGCUAAAUGAGUUAUCACAUAGCACCAGUAUUCUGAAAAAUGUAACUUUAGAGAAAAACCUUCCAAUUCAAGUCUUAGACUGGGAUUGGUAUUUUCAGCAGACAUCUAUUUUUAUAAACGUAAAGCUUAUCAAACUACCUUUCAACUUUCAUUUUGAUGAACAGUAAAUAUUAUUUUAUUAUCUACAUACAAUGGUGACAAAAUAGAUAAAUAAUAAAUAUGAAUUGUGGGUAUUAUUUUAGUAACAAAAAGUCAUUUAAAAUGAAAACCCUUAACCUAUGUUCUUAUUAAUAUAAUAUUUAUGUGAUUUAAAAUUUUGUAUAUGGUAUCAUUUACUUAAGCAUCUCUUAAUUCCUCAUUUCUGUAACUCUUUAUACCUGACAUAUGUACUAAAUUUGAUGAACAGAAAUUCAUUCAUUCAACAAAUGCUUGAAUGUCCACCAGAUACUGGGUUCUUUGCUAGACUCUGGAUGUACAGAGUAAAACAAAGAAGUCCCUUUCCUGUUAAACAUAUCAUCAUUCCUACUUAUGUCCAGAUUUUAUGUUUGUUUGUUUGUUUUUUGAGACAGAGUUUCGCUCUUGUUGCCCCAGGCUGGAGUGCAAUGGCACAAUCUCGGCUCACUGCAACUCCACCUCCCAGGUUCAAAGCAAUUCUCCUGCCUCAGCCUCCUGAGUAACUGGGAUUACAGGCAUGUGCCACCAUGCCCAGCUAAUUUUGUAUUUUUAGUACAUACAGGUUUAUCUAUGUUGGUCAGGCUGGUCUCAAACUCCCGACCUCAGGUGAUCCGCCUGCCUCUGCCCCCCAAAGUGCCGGGAUUACAGGUGUGAACCACCAUGCCCGGCAGAUUUUAUGGUUUGAAUGAUUUUCUGUCAGCAUUUGAAUUGGAUAUAAAACAAUCUUAACAGUGUUGUUUAUUUACAAAUUUCAUUCUGUCCUCCCCCCAAAAAGAUUUAGGUGUGUCAUGAUCAGUUCAUCAAAUAGGUAUCUUUAACUCAGAAAAUGACUUACAGGUUUAAAAUAUACAUUCUCUAUCAGUUUGAACGUAUUGAUGAACUCUCAAAGUUUUGAAUAUGGAAAAAAUAUAUGAAGCUCAACAAGAAAGACAGCUUUAUAAAAAGGCAAGUCUAGCAGAAAAGAUAACCAAGUAGGAGGAGAUUCCUCACGUAAGGAAAAAAACAAGUAAAAUAAUCAGCUUAAAAGCAUGUGUGCAAGAUAUUUCAUUGUUAUUUUUAUGUUUGUUUGUUGACAUUUUAUAGCCUAGUUAACAGAUGCUCCAAAUUUUGAGCCUGUAACCCUUCCAAUCCCUUGCUGCCUUUGAUGGUGAUGCUCCAUCCUAUUAUACCAACUCCACAUUGAAGCAGAACUCUCAAGACAGAGAUGGGGAGGGAUGGAUGGGCUGUGAGGCCCCCCAGCCAAGAAGCUGGAAGAACUUUCUCGAAUCCUGCAGAGCUGCUCAGGGGCCUGCCUUGUAUCUGCCUGGCUGUUCCAGGGAGGUUGGAAGACAAACUGAAGGCUUUCCAUUGCUGAACAUCAGACCUCAGAAGUACUGACUGGAGGGCUCCCAAGCUGGCUCAGAUCAGCCUCAUAUUGCCCCGAACAGUAUCAUCACCGCUUUGCCCUGGUGGGGAAACUACUCUUUACCCUCUGUAUGAACCUAUGAAGCACGCAGGUCACUGGGGCAAUUUCUGAGUUUGAAGUUGCUUGGAUUUGCCAUUGCUGCUAUGUUGAAGGGAAGGGAGUGCUUUUGAAGAAAAUGUUCAUCUCUAGUUCCAGUAACAGGCAUGGAAUUGACACAUAACAGGUGUUUGUUGAAUUGAGCUGAAUAAAUUAGAAUCUGGGGCAAAA
Molecule: long non-coding RNA, 5367 nt
Organism: Homo sapiens (human)
Lineage: Eukaryota; Metazoa; Chordata; Mammalia; Primates; Hominidae
Exons: 2
Source: RefSeq, a predicted model, not a curated record